GUGAGCAAGGUUUCAGGUUGUC
This 22-nucleotide microRNA is filed under the name Eisenia fetida (common brandling worm). RNAcentral describes it as "Efe-Mir-87-o13_3p (mature (guide))". The record is from RNAcentral. Lineage: Eukaryota; Metazoa; Annelida; Clitellata; Crassiclitellata; Lumbricidae.